RNAcentral lists this ribosomal RNA (511 nucleotides) under uncultured bacterium. Its description in RNAcentral is "bacterial SSU rRNA". It matches the Rfam family "Bacterial small subunit ribosomal RNA", at positions 348 to 859 of the family's 1533-position model. The record is from RNAcentral.
GCAGCAGUGAGGAAUAUUGGUCAAUGGGCGCGAGCCUGAACCAGCCAUCCCGCGUGCAGGAAGACGGCCCUAUGGGUUGUAAACUGCUUUUGUGCAGGAAGAACGCUCUCUACGUGUAGAGAGGUGACGGUACUGCAUGAAUAAGCACCGGCUAACUCCGUGCCAGCAGCCGCGGUAAUACGGAGGGUGCAAGCGUUAUCCGGAUUUAUUGGGUUUAAAGGGUGCGUAGGCGGUAAAAUAAGUCAGUGGUGAAAAGCUGCAGCUCAACGGUAGUCGUGCCAUUGAAACUGUUUUACUUGAGUAACCAUGAGGUAGGCGGAAUGUGUAGUGUAGCGGUGAAAUGCUUAGAUAUUACACAGAACACCGAUUGCGUAGGCAGCUUACUAGCGGUUUACUGACGCUGAUGCACGAAAGCGUGGGGAUCAAACAGGAUUAGAUACCCUGGUAGUCCACGCCGUAAACGAUGAUAACUCGCUGUUGGCGAUACACAGUCAGCGGCUUAGCGAAAGCG